UACGUAGGUGGCAAGCGUUGUCCGGAUUUACUGGGCGUAAAGAGCGCGCAGGCGGUCAGAAAAGUCGAAUGUGAAAGCCCCCGGCUCAACUGGGGAGGGUCAUUCGAUACUGUUCGACUCGAAGGCAGGAGAGGGAAGUGGAAUUCCCGGUGUAGUGGUGAAAUGCGUAGAGAUCGGGAAGAACACCCGUGGCGAAGGCGGCUCACUGGGCUGACCUUGACGCUGAGGCGCGAAGGCGUGGGGAGCGAACGGG
RNAcentral lists this ribosomal RNA (253 nucleotides) under uncultured bacterium. RNAcentral's name for it is "partial 16S ribosomal RNA". It matches the Rfam family "Bacterial small subunit ribosomal RNA", at positions 524 to 776 of the family's 1533-position model. The record is from RNAcentral.